Molecule: ribosomal RNA, 496 nt
Filed under: uncultured bacterium
Lineage: Bacteria
Description: partial 16S ribosomal RNA
Rfam family: Bacterial small subunit ribosomal RNA
Source: RNAcentral
AUGAACGCUGGCGGCGUGCCUAAUACCUGCAAGUCGAGCGAACGGACGAGAAGCUUGCUUCUCUGAUGUUAGCGGCGGACGGGUGAGUAACCCGUGGAUAACCUACCUAUAAGACUGGGAUAACUUCGGGAAACCGGAGCUAAUACCGGAUAAUAUUUUGAACCGCAUGGUUCAAAAGUGAAAGACGGUCUUGCUGUCACUUAUAGAUGGAUCCGCGCUGCAUUAGCUAGUUGGUAAGGUAACGGCUUACCAAGGCAAGGAUGCAUAGCCGACCUGAGAGGGGGAUCGGCCACACGGGAACUGAGACACGGUCCAGACUCCUACGGGAGGCAGCAGUAGGGAAUCUUCCGCAAUGGGCGAAAGCCUGACGGAGCAACGCCGCGUGAGUGAUGAAGGUCUUCGGAUCGUAAAACUCUGUUAUUAGGGAAGAACAUAUGUGUAAGUAACUGUGCACAUCUUGACGGUACCUAAUCAGAAAGCCACGGCUAACUACGUG